CACAAACUAUCUCUCCCUCUCCCACUCACUCUCUGUCUCCCUCUCUCCCCUGUUCUCCUGGAAGAGGGAUUCUUUAUCAAACUGCAUCAGACUAUUCUCCACUGGAGGGCGAAUUCUACAAGAGGAACAGGGCGAAUUGGAAGGAAUACAGUCGGAGCGAAGGGGUAGAGGCAACAGCAGCUGGAAGCAAGAGAGACAGAGAAAAUCCCGGCCCGAUCCCUGCAAGCAUCAUUCUCGCCACCGGAUUAAAUCCGUCCCCUCCUCGCACGCCAAACCACGCCAAGACAUGAGCUUCUCCUGCCGGGGUUACUUCAUGUUGAACUGAGCCGUCCUGAGUCUCCAGUGCGUCUCUUUCCUUGGUUUAAUCUCCCUCUGUGUGUCACCCGGU
This is a long non-coding RNA of Gadus chalcogrammus (walleye pollock), 388 nucleotides long. RefSeq lists it as uncharacterized. The record is from RefSeq and is a predicted model, not a curated record. Lineage: Eukaryota; Metazoa; Chordata; Actinopteri; Gadiformes; Gadidae. The transcript is spliced from 3 exons.